This 217-nucleotide long non-coding RNA is filed under the name Elaeis guineensis (African oil palm). RNAcentral's name for it is "long non-coding RNA (EGUI_LNC038300)". The record is from RNAcentral. Lineage: Eukaryota; Viridiplantae; Streptophyta; Magnoliopsida; Arecales; Arecaceae.
ACAAGCAAGCUGAUAUUGAUAAUUUGUUGUAGCAUUUAGGUUCUAUCUACUACCUAAUAUAGAGACAUAUUCCUUGAAAUUAAAAGCUGAAUAUUACUAUGUUUGUCUCCACAUAAAAAUGAACCAUUAAAAUCUGCAACUAUUUCAUGAGUUAUUUAGCAGCUCCAAUACAUCUCGAAAAGCACUAUGAGUUCUCCUUCUAAACUUCUUUCUCUUC